GACGAACGCUGGCGGCCUGCUUAACACAUGCAAGUCGAACAGACAGGCCCUGCUUUUGUGGGGUGCUCGAGUGGCGAACGGGUGAGUAACACCUGAGUAACCUGCCCUUGACUUUGGGAUAACUUCAGGAAACUGGGGCUAAUACCGGAUAAGAGCUCCUGCUGCAUGGAGGGGGUUGGAAAGUUUCGGCGGUUCGGGAUGGACUCGCGGCUUAUCAGCUUGUUGGUGGGGUAGUGGCUUACCAAGGCUGCUGACAGGUAGACGAGCCUGAGAGGGGGACCGGCCACAUUGAGACUGAGAUACGGCCAAGACUCCUGAGGGAGGUUGCACUGGGGAAUUUCGACUAAUGGGCGGAAAGCCUGAUGCAGAAACCCCGCGUUGGGGGAGACGGGCCUUCGGGUUGUAAACCGCUUUUCCCCUGUGAGAAAGCGUGAGUGACGGUUAUGGGUAAAGAAAGCACCGGCUAAUUACGUGCCAGCAGCCGCCGUGAUAACCUAUGGUGCGAGCGGUAGUCCGGAAUUAAUGGGCGUAAAGGGCUCGUAGGUGGUUGAUCGCGUCGGAAGUGUAAUCUUGGGGCUUAACCCUGAGCGUGCUUUCGAUACGGGUUGACUUGAGGAAGGUAGGGGAGAAUGGAAUUCCUGGUGGAGCGGUGGAAUGCGCAGAUAUCAGGAGGAACACCAGUGGCGAAGGCGGUUCUCUGGGCCUUUCCUGACGCUGAGGAGCGAAAGCGUGGGGAGCGAACAGGCUUAGAUACCCUGGUAGUCCACGCUGUAAACGGUGGGUACUAGGUGUGGGGUCCAUUCCACGGGUUCCGUGCCGUAGCUAACGCUUUAAGUACCCCGCCUGGGGAGUACGGCCGCAAGGCUAAAACUCAAAGGAAUUGACGGGGCCCCGCACAAGCGGCGGAGCAUGCGGAUUAAUUCGAUGCAACGCGUAGAACCUUACCUGGGUUUGACAUGGAUCGGGAGCGCUCAGAGAUGGGUGUGCCUCUUUUGGGGUCGGUUCACAGGUGGUGCAUGGCUGUCGUCAGCCCGUGUCGUGAGAUGUUGGGUUAAGUCCCGCAACGAGCGCAACCCUUGUUCACUGUUGCCAGCACGUUAUGGUGGGGACUCAGUGGAGACCGCCGGGGUCAACUCGGAGGAAGGUGGGGAUGACGUCAAGUCAUCAUGCCCCUUAUGUCCAGGGCUUCACGCAUGCUACAAUGGCUGGUACAGAGAGUGGCGAGCCUGUGAGGGUGAGCGAAUCUCGGAAAGCCGGUCUCAGUUCGGAUUGGGGUCUGCAACUCGACCUCAUGAAGUCGGAGUCGCUAGUAAUCGCAGAUCAGCAACGCUGCGGUGAAUACGUUCCCGGGGCU
RNAcentral lists this ribosomal RNA (1354 nucleotides) under uncultured bacterium. RNAcentral's name for it is "bacterial SSU rRNA". It matches the Rfam family "Bacterial small subunit ribosomal RNA", at positions 28 to 1381 of the family's 1533-position model. The record is from RNAcentral.